RNAcentral lists this unclassified non-coding RNA (350 nucleotides) under plant metagenome. Its description in RNAcentral is "partial contains 5.8S ribosomal RNA, internal transcribed spacer 2, and large subunit ribosomal RNA". The stretch from base 1 to 105 matches the Rfam family "5.8S ribosomal RNA", at positions 50 to 154 of the family's 154-position model. The record is from RNAcentral.
GAAAUGCGAUAAGUAAUGUGAAUUGCAGAAUUCAGUGAAUCAUCGAAUCUUUGAACGCAUCUUGCGCUCCUUGGUAUUCCGAGGAGCAUGCCUGUUUGAGUGUCAUGGAAUUCUCAACUCUAUUUGCUUUUGUGAAUAGAGCUUGGAUUUGGAGGUUUAUUGCUGGUACUUGUGAUCGGCUCCUCUUGAAUGCAUUAGCUCGAACCUUUGUGGAUCAGCUAUCGGUGUGAUAAUUGUCUACGCCGUUGCAGUGAAGCAUAUCAAUGGGCUCGGCUUCCAAUCGUCCUUUACUGGACAAUGACUUUGACCUUUGACCUCAAAUCAGGUAGGAUUACCCGCUGAACUUAAGC